UACGUAGGUGGCAAGCGUUAUCCGGAAUUAUUGGGCGUAAAGAGCGCGCAGGUGGUUGAUUAAGUCUGAUGUGAAAGCCCACGGCUUAACCGUGGAGGGUCAUUGGAAACUGGUCGACUUGAGUGCAGAAGAGGGAAGUGGAAUUCCAUGUGUAGCGGUGAAAUGCGUAGAGAUAUGGAGGAACACCAGUGGCGAAGGCGACUCUCUGGUCUGUAACUGACGCUGAGGUGCGAAAGCGUGGGUAGCAAACAGGAUUAGA
This 259-nucleotide ribosomal RNA is filed under the name uncultured prokaryote. Its description in RNAcentral is "partial 16S ribosomal RNA". It matches the Rfam family "Bacterial small subunit ribosomal RNA", at positions 524 to 782 of the family's 1533-position model. The record is from RNAcentral.